GAAGGAUCAUUACCGAGUGUAGGGUUCCUAGCGAGCCCAACCUCCCACCCGUGUUUACUGUACCUUAGUUGCUUCGGCGGGCCCGCCAUUCAUGGCCGCCGGGGGCUCUCAGCCCCGGGCCCGCGCCCGCCGGAGACACCACGAACUCUGUCUGAUCUAGUGAAGUCUGAGUUGAUUGUAUCGCAAUCAGUUAAAACUUUCAACAAUGGAUCUCUUGGUUCCGGCAUCGAUGAAGAACGCAGCGAAAUGCGAUAACUAGUGUGAAUUGCAGAAUUCCGUGAAUCAUCGAGUCUUUGAACGCACAUUGCGCCCCCUGGUAUUCCGGGGGGCAUGCCUGUCCGAGCGUCAUUGCUGCCCAUCAAGCACGGCUUGUGUGUUGGGUCGUCGUCCCCUCUCCGGGGGGGACGGGCCCCAAAGGCAGCGGCGGCACCGCGUCCGAUCCUCGAGCGUAUGGGGCUUUGUCACCCGCUCUGUAGGCCCGGCCGGCGCUUGCCGAACGCAAAUCAAUCUUUUUCCAGGUUGACCUCGGAUCAGGUAGGGGUACCCGCUGAACUUAA
Molecule: ribosomal RNA, 557 nt
Filed under: Aspergillus flavus
Lineage: Eukaryota; Fungi; Ascomycota; Eurotiomycetes; Eurotiales; Aspergillaceae
Description: eukaryotic LSU rRNA
Rfam family: 5.8S ribosomal RNA (bases 195-348)
Source: RNAcentral